RNAcentral lists this ribosomal RNA (387 nucleotides) under uncultured bacterium. RNAcentral's name for it is "bacterial SSU rRNA". It matches the Rfam family "Bacterial small subunit ribosomal RNA", at positions 30 to 419 of the family's 1533-position model. The record is from RNAcentral.
AUUGAACGCUGGCGGCAUGCCUUACACAUGCAAGUCGAACGGCAGCGGGCCUUCGGGUGCCGGCGAGUGGCGAACGGGUGAGUAAUGCAUCGGAACGUGCCAUUGAGUGGGGGAUAACGUAGCGAAAGUUACGCUAAUACCGCAUAUUCUGUGAGCAGGAAAGCAGGGGACCGCAAGGCCUUGCGCUCUUUGAGCGGCCGAUGUCAGAUUAGCUAGUUGGUGAGGUAAAAGGCUUACCAAGGCGACGAUCUGUAGCGGGUCUGAGAGGAUGAUCCGCCACACUGGAACUGAGACACGGUCCAGACUCCUACGGGAGGCAGCAGUGGGGAAUUUUGGACAAUGGCGCAAGCCUGAUCCAGCCAUGCCGCGUGAGUGAAGAAGGCCUGG